RNAcentral lists this ribosomal RNA (459 nucleotides) under uncultured bacterium. RNAcentral describes it as "partial 16S ribosomal RNA". It matches the Rfam family "Bacterial small subunit ribosomal RNA", at positions 338 to 795 of the family's 1533-position model. The record is from RNAcentral.
CCUACGGGAGGCAGCAGUGAGGAAUAUUGGUCAAUGGGCGCGAGCCUGAACCAGCCAAGUCGCGUGAGGGAUGCAGGUUCUAUGGAUCGUAAACCUCUUUUAUAAGGGAAUAAAGUGUGGGACGUGUCCUAUUUUGUAUGUACCUUAUGAAUAAGGAUCGGCUAACUCCGUGCCAGCAGCCGCGGUAAUAGGGAGGAUCCGAGGGUUAUCCGGCUUUAUUGGGUUUAAAGGGUGCGUAGGCGGAUGUUUAAGUCAGCGGUAAAAUGCUGUGGCUAAACCAUGGAUGGCCGUUGGAACUGGGGAGCUUGAGUGGGCGAGAGGUAGGCGGAAUGCGUGGUGUAGCGGUGAAAUGCAUAGAUAUCACGCAGAACUCCGAUUGCGAAGGCAGCAUACCGGGGCCCGACUGACGCUGAGGCACGAAAGCGUGGGGAUCGAACAGGAUUAGAUACCCUUGUAGUC